AAGUAGCUGAGGCACUAGAAGUGCUUGAGAUCAGGAGGUAGAGGUUGCAAUGAUCUGAGAUCAUGCCACCGCACUCCAGCCUGGGCAACAGAGCAAGACUCUGUCUCAAACAAACAAACAAAUCAACAAAAAAUGCUGGAGUCUGAGGAGCCAGCCAUGUGUUAAUAGCUGUAACACUCACCGCGAGGGUCCGCGGCUUCAUUCUGAAGUCAGUGAGAC
Molecule: long non-coding RNA, 219 nt
Filed under: Homo sapiens (human)
Lineage: Eukaryota; Metazoa; Chordata; Mammalia; Primates; Hominidae
Description: non-protein coding lnc-MCM10-2:1
Source: RNAcentral